AAACUAACUAGGAUGCCUUCAGUAACGGCGAGCGAAGCAGGCAUAGCUCAAAUUUGUAAUCUGGCGCCUUUGGCGUCCGAGUUGUAUUUUCUAGAAGCGAGUUCGGUGACAGCUCCUACCCAAGUCCGUUGGAACACGGCGUCAUGGAGGGUGAGAAUCCCGUGAAUGGUAGGAUGUCUGCUGCUAUGUGAACCGCCUUCGAAGAGUCGAGUUGUUUGGGAAUGCAGCUCUAAAUGGGAGGUAAAUUUCUUCUAAAGCUAAAUAUUGGCCAGAGACCGAUAGCGAACAAGUAGAGUGAUCGAAAGAUGAAAAGAACUUUGAAAAGAGAGUUAAACAGUACGUGAAAUUGUUGAAAGGGAAGCGCUUGAGAUCAGACUUCCUGUCUAGACUGUCCUUGCUUCUGCUUGGGUCAACAGUCUAGGCGUGGAGGCCAGCAUCAGUUUUGACGGCCGGAUAAAGGCCUUGGGAAGGUAGCUCCUCUCGGGGAGUGUUAUAGCCCAGGGUGUAAUACGGCCAGUUGGGACUGAGGACCGCGGCUUUGCCUAGGAUGCUGGCGUAAUGGUCUUAAGCGAC
Molecule: ribosomal RNA, 573 nt
Filed under: Taphrina tosquinetii
Lineage: Eukaryota; Fungi; Ascomycota; Taphrinomycetes; Taphrinales; Taphrinaceae
Description: eukaryotic LSU rRNA
Rfam family: Eukaryotic large subunit ribosomal RNA
Source: RNAcentral